GGGACAUGCGGUGUGGAGGGGGGGGGAAUACGGUGGGGGCGGGCGUUUAACGGAAUUACUGGGAGUAAAGCGGGAGCAUGCGGUGUGGUAAGCGAGAUGUGAAAGUGCUGGGCUCAACCUAGGAAUAGCAUUUCGAACUGGCGAACUAGAGUCGUGUAGAGGGGGGUAGAAUUCCAGGUGUAGCGGUGAAAUGCGUAGAGAUCUGGAGGAAUACCGGUGGCGAAGGCGGCCCCCUGGACAAAGACUGACGCUCAUGCACGAAAGCGUGGGGAGCAAACAGGAUUAGAUACCCCAGUAGUC
This 300-nucleotide ribosomal RNA is filed under the name uncultured Methanomassiliicoccus sp. RNAcentral describes it as "partial 16S ribosomal RNA". The stretch from base 52 to 300 matches the Rfam family "Bacterial small subunit ribosomal RNA", at positions 547 to 795 of the family's 1533-position model. Lineage: Archaea; Methanobacteriati; Thermoplasmatota; Thermoplasmata; Methanomassiliicoccales; Methanomassiliicoccaceae. The record is from RNAcentral.